UAACCAUGAUGAGGAGAAGCAUUUAAAAGAUCUUUGAACCUUUCCCAGCUCUGAUAAAAAGUUUCAGGAUCUUUUUGAGUGAAGUUCAUGAUUUGUCUUUUAAGUGC
Small nucleolar RNA from Carya illinoinensis, 107 nucleotides. NCBI's taxonomy places the organism in Eukaryota, Viridiplantae, Streptophyta, Magnoliopsida, Fagales, Juglandaceae. The record is from RefSeq and is a predicted model, not a curated record.